This is a non-coding RNA of Merluccius polli (Benguela hake), 76 nucleotides long. The record is from the annotation of a GenBank genome assembly. NCBI's taxonomy places the organism in Eukaryota, Metazoa, Chordata, Actinopteri, Gadiformes, Merlucciidae.
GCAGGAGGAUAGUCUAGUGGGCUAGGGUGUUCGUCUCCCCACCGAAAGGUACUGGGUUCGAGCCCCAAUGUCUGCA